Molecule: ribosomal RNA, 255 nt
Filed under: uncultured bacterium
Lineage: Bacteria
Description: partial 16S ribosomal RNA
Rfam family: Bacterial small subunit ribosomal RNA
Source: RNAcentral
UACGUAGGGGGCGAGCGUUGUCCGGAUUUAUUGGGCGUAAAGAGCUCGUAGGCGGCUUGGCAAGUCGGGUGUGAAACCUCCAGGCUCAACCUGGAGACGCCACUCGAUACUGCCAUGGCUAGAGUCCGGUAGGGGACCACGGAAUUCCUGGUGUAGCGGUGAAAUGACGCAGAUAUCAGGAGGAACACCGGUGGCGAAGGCGGUGGUCUGGGCCGGCACUGACGCUGAGGAGCGAAAGCGUGGGUAGCAAACAGG